Long non-coding RNA from Podarcis raffonei (Aeolian wall lizard), 393 nucleotides. RefSeq lists it as uncharacterized. Lineage: Eukaryota; Metazoa; Chordata; Lepidosauria; Squamata; Lacertidae. The transcript has 2 exons. The record is from RefSeq and is a predicted model, not a curated record.
UGCCUCCCAGCUGGAGUCACUGGUUCGGGUUUUCAGCACCAGUCUCAGCACCCAUAUUAACAAUGUUUCCUCUCACAGCCUGAUAAUUCUGCAGAUCUACAGUGCAAGACCUCUGGUGAAACGAAGACCACCCUGCUCUCCUCUGAUGUGAAGCUGCCUCAACUGCACCCCCAUCUCUGCUGGGGAAGAAACCGCUUUGCUUGAUGCUGCUGAAGGCGAUGCUGGGAAGGAGUCAAGAGGGAGCCAUCCUGUCUGCCUGUCUACUCAUGAGUAAGCCCACUGUGGCCAGUGGGGCCUGACUCCUUAUAAAUGGGCUCAGGAUUGGAGCUAGGAUUUGGUUUUCCUGCAAAAAUGCUUUAGCUUCUUCUUUUUAAUAAAUGCAAGCAUUGGAAA